This 108-nucleotide small nucleolar RNA is filed under the name Sorghum bicolor (sorghum). RNAcentral's name for it is "Plant small nucleolar RNA R71". It matches the Rfam family "Plant small nucleolar RNA R71". Rfam says of the family: R71 is a member of the C/D box family of snoRNAs containing the C (UGAUGA) and D (CUGA) box motifs. The record is from Rfam by way of RNAcentral. Lineage: Eukaryota; Viridiplantae; Streptophyta; Magnoliopsida; Poales; Poaceae.
AUUCCAUGAUGGGGACAUUCUAGGAUGUAGUCUUGAAAGCGCUCCCAUGCUUCUGGAACAGAUUCAUCAUUUUGUUGCUGAAAACUUGUUUAAUGCAUUUCUUAAUUU